Selaginella moellendorffii is the source of this 444-nucleotide long non-coding RNA. RefSeq lists it as uncharacterized. The record is from RefSeq and is a predicted model, not a curated record. Lineage: Eukaryota; Viridiplantae; Streptophyta; Lycopodiopsida; Selaginellales; Selaginellaceae. The transcript is spliced from 3 exons.
ACUACAGCACAAACUCUCGUGGGGGCGAGGAUUUUGGAGGUGUCCCUGUUUAUAUCCACGAAUGGGAUAAGAAAUACCAGCACGAAAACGUGAAGUUCUGGGAAGGCAAAACAUUCCAGCUACAGGAGGGGCUCAUGCUUUUACAUUUAGGUGACCAUUCUGCUAGUGCUCAAAUCCUCCACUGAACCUCAAGGGAGGGGUGUUUUAUUCACUGGAGAUAUCUUACAGUCCAUGUUUGAUUUGUAAGUGGGGAUGGACAACAAAACAGUGAGCAUAAUGAGAUCAUAUCCAAACUAUGUACCACUCUUGUCGAGCCAUGCUAAAAGGAUAGGCCAGUUAAUUGAGCCAUGGGAUUUUGAGAGGCUCUACAGUGUGUUUUAUGACAGAGAGAUUGAAGAGAACCCAAAGAGCUGCGUCGUAUUCUCUCUGCAAAGGUAUAUUGAU